Molecule: ribosomal RNA, 577 nt
Filed under: Leotiomycetes sp. 'Phialophora'
Lineage: Eukaryota; Fungi; Ascomycota; Leotiomycetes
Description: eukaryotic LSU rRNA
Rfam family: Eukaryotic large subunit ribosomal RNA
Source: RNAcentral
AAAUUCCCCUUAGCGGAGGAAAAGAAACCAACAGGGAUUACCUCAGUAACGGCGAGUGAAGCGGUAACAGCUCAAAUUUGAAAGCUAGCUCUUUUAGGGUUCGCAUUGUAAUUUGUAGAAGAUGCUUCGGGUGUGGCCCCGGUCUAAGUUCCUUGGAACAGGACGUCAUAGAGGGUGAGAAUCCCGUAUGUGACUGGGUGCUUUCGCUCAUGUGAAGCUCUUUCGACGAGUCGAGUUGUUUGGGAAUGCAGCUCAAAAUGGGUGGUAAAUUUCAUCUAAAGCUAAAUAUUGGCCAGAGACCGAUAGCGCACAAGUAGAGUGAUCGAAAGAUGAAAAGCACUUUGGAAAGAGAGUUAAACAGUACGUGAAAUUGUUGAAAGGGAAGCGCUUGCAACCAGACUUGCGCGCUGAUGAUCAUCCGGGCUUCUGCCCGGUGCACUCGUCUGCGCUCAGGCCAGCAUCGGUUUCGGUGGUGGGAUAAAGGCCUUGGGAAUGUAGCUUCUUUCGGGGAGUGUUAUAGCCCUCGGUGCAAUGCCGCCUACCGGGACCGAGGACCGCGCUCGGCUAGGAUGCGGCG